RNAcentral lists this ribosomal RNA (449 nucleotides) under uncultured bacterium. RNAcentral's name for it is "partial 16S ribosomal RNA". It matches the Rfam family "Bacterial small subunit ribosomal RNA", at positions 329 to 793 of the family's 1533-position model. The record is from RNAcentral.
GACCAGACUCCUACGGGAGGCAGCAGUGGGGGAUAUUGCACAAUGGGGGGAAACCCUGAUGCAGCGACGCCGCGUGAGCGAUGAAGUCUUUCGGUAUGUAAAGCUCUAUCAGCAGGGAAGAAAAUGACGGUACCUGACUAAGAAGCCCCGGCUAACUACGUGCCAGCAGCCGCGGUAAUACGUAGGGGGCAAGCGUUAUCCGGAUUUACUGGGUGUAAAGGGAGCGUAGACGGCAAUGCAAGCCAGAUGUGAAAGCCCGGGGCUCAACCCCGGGACUGCAUUUGGAACUGUGUAGCUGGAGUGUCGGAGAGGCAGGCGGAAUUCCUAGUGUAGCGGUGAAAUGCGUAGAUAUUAGGAGGAACACCAGUGGCGAAGGCGGCCUGCUGGACGAUGACUGACGUUGAGGCUCGAAAGCGUGGGGAGCAAACAGGAUUAGAUACCCCAGUAAG